CACCACAUGGUGGAAAUUUUCGCAACAGGACGCAGCCUAGUAGACCUCUAUGGUUCGGACGGCAGCGAAGCGAAAAAGGAG
This 81-nucleotide non-coding RNA is filed under the name unclassified sequences. RNAcentral's name for it is "RT-18 RNA". It matches the Rfam family "RT-18 RNA". Rfam says of the family: Clostridiales (Firmicutes). The record is from Rfam by way of RNAcentral.